This 441-nucleotide ribosomal RNA is filed under the name uncultured bacterium. RNAcentral describes it as "bacterial SSU rRNA". It matches the Rfam family "Bacterial small subunit ribosomal RNA", at positions 49 to 524 of the family's 1533-position model. The record is from RNAcentral.
UAACACAUGCAAGUCGAGCGCAAUACUAUCUUCGGAUAGUGGAGAGCGGCGGACGGGUGAGUAACGCGUGGGAACCUACCCUUUGGUUCGGAAUAACUUUGGGAAACCGAAGCUAAUACCGGAUACGCCCCGUAAGGGGGAAAGAUUUAUUGCCGGAGGGGGGGCCCGCGUUGGAUUAGGUAGUUGGUAGGGUAAUGGCCUACCAAGCCGACGAUCCAUAGCUGUUCUGAGAGGAAGAUCAGCCACACUGGGACUGAGACACGGCCCAGACUCCUACGGGAGGCAGCAGUGGGGAAUCUUGGACAAUGGGGGAAACCCUGAUCCAGCCAUGCCGCGUGAAUGAAGAAGGCCUUAGGGUUGUAAAGUUCUUUUAGUGGGGAAGAUAAUGACGGUACCCACAGAAAAAGCCCCGGCUAACUCCGUGCCAGCAGCCGCGGUAAU